RNAcentral lists this unclassified non-coding RNA (432 nucleotides) under soil metagenome. RNAcentral's name for it is "partial contains 5.8S ribosomal RNA, internal transcribed spacer 2, and large subunit ribosomal RNA". The stretch from base 1 to 120 matches the Rfam family "5.8S ribosomal RNA", at positions 35 to 154 of the family's 154-position model. The record is from RNAcentral.
GAUGAAGAACGUAGUGAAAUGCGAUACGUAAUGUGAAUUGCAGAAUUCAGUGAAUCAUCGAAUCUUUGAACGCAUAUUGCGCUCUCUGGUAUUCCGGAGAGCAUGCUUGUUUGAGUAUCAGUAAACACCUCAACUUCCAUAUCUUUUUUGAAAUGGGAGUUGGACUUGAGUGAUCCCAACGCUUUUCCUCACCGAAAAGUGGCGGGUUACUUGAAAUGCAGGUGCAGCUGGACUUUUCUCUGAGCUAUAAGCAUAUCUAUUUAGUCUGCCUAAAAAACAGAUUAUUACCUUUGCUGCAGCUAACAUAAAGGAGAUGAGUUCUUGUGCUGACUGAUGCAGGAUUCACAAAGACAGCUUCGGCCGACUUUGUAAACUCGAUCUCAAAUCAAGUAAGACUACCCGCUGAACUUAAGCAUAUCAAUAAGCGGAGGA